CUCUGGUGGAAGCCCGCAGC
Molecule: small nuclear RNA, 20 nt
Filed under: Arabidopsis thaliana (thale cress)
Lineage: Eukaryota; Viridiplantae; Streptophyta; Magnoliopsida; Brassicales; Brassicaceae
Description: snRNA_07681
Source: RNAcentral